Long non-coding RNA from Gasterosteus aculeatus aculeatus (three-spined stickleback), 1242 nucleotides. The record is from Ensembl. NCBI's taxonomy places the organism in Eukaryota, Metazoa, Chordata, Actinopteri, Perciformes, Gasterosteidae.
CACGCAGUGAGCAGCGAGGCGACCUGGAUCGAUUCAGCAGCCGUCCUCGUCUCUCUCUGAGAACAACCUGGUGCCAGUUCUAUGACGCUGGAUCACAUGGGGGGGCGGAGGACGCCGAAGUGGUUACCCCCCCCCCCCCCCCCCCCCCACACACACUUUGAGAAUCAUCUGCGUCUCAAUGAAACAAAGCGCCGGCUGAAAUUGGGAUUGUGAAGCUGUGAGUGUGUCUGGAGAUGGCGAGCGGGAGACUGAGGAGUCAGGACAACUCAAAGACCUGACCUCAUUACCUGAUCUCAGAGGAUGGCCGAGUCCAGUCAACUCAUUAAGCUCAGCCCUCGUGUGCCGUGGAUACGAACUCCACCUCGCUAUGGUUACUGGCAGCCAAACAGCAGUCAACAGUGCAGCGAACCGGAGGCGAUCCGUCGCCUGCCAGACCAAACUCCAUUUGAGCGAGCUCGUAUCUGCUCUGCAUCAACCCCUGCAGCACACGGCACAUUUUUCACCCUUAGGAUUGAAUUCUAUUUGCUCUCUACUGUUACGAGCCCCACACUGCUAAAUCAGCAGAUAUGCAGAACACUUGAAUCCAACAUUCAUGCUCCGCAUCCCCAAGUAAAUGUUUCCGAGGAAUGUUCUACUUCUUAGGCCCCACGAAUUUGAUUAUGGAGCACGUACACAGUGUGUUUAUAAACAACAAAUAACAUCCCUCCUGCAAGCUGGAGACAUAUGUUACAAUAACGUUUCGGAUGUUUCUCUCGUCCUGCAGAUAUUUCAUUGCUCCUAAUGUGUGUACAACAUGGAAAAGCAUCUGUCUUCGGGGGAUUCUGUGCUGUAGGACAUUUACAGGUGAAGACAAGAGAAGCUUUAUCCUGCUGCACUUAGGGAAACAUCGUGUGAAAGUUUCCCCUCUCCUCUGCCUGACACAUCUGUAUGUCCUGCUAUGAGAGGCUCCUUCACCGACACCUCAAUGUGAAAGACAGUGUGCACUUUAUGCAGCUCUGUUGUGGAGGUCGGGUGGAAAGUUAAGCCGGGUCUGAGCUGUGCUUUCUUUGGCUCUCUGAGCCAAAACGUAUUCAUCUGCAAACUGACAGCUUCACCGUAGCCCAGGAAAUGGAGGAGCCUGAUCCGCCAGGUAUUUGUGUAUGUCUUGUUUCCCCAACCCCAUUCACCAUCUCCCUAAAGCGAGGCAGCAAAGCCAAAGACAAAGAAUUGAGUAAUUAGCCUGCAUUUCUGUUUUUGUUUGUU